UGGCCGCGCGGGGCUGGCAGCGCCGCUGGAGCAUGGCGCUACCCCCCGCCCCCAGCAGCCGCUGCUGAGCCGCGCACCGCCAGCCCCUGCGCUAACGUCUGCAAUCCUGCCCUGCAGUGCCCCCUGCUGGCCUCCCAGCCUAACUCAGCCGCUCCACUCCCGGCUCCCUCCGUCCCACAGCCCAGCUGCUCCCUGCAAUGGGUGGGAGGAGGCUGGCUCAGGCCGCACUCACUAGUCUCUGCAAGGUGCUUGGAGAUCGCUGGCUGCAAGACAGAAGUGUUGGGCUGGCUGAUCUGGCAGAGGGCUGGAAGAGGAUGGAUAAAAGCCUAGGAGUGAUGGAAGACAUGGGAUAUGGUCAUUGAUGAUAAAUCAUGCAUGGGUAAGAACUGAUCCCAACAGAACCCCAAUAGAAACACAGCUGCUAGAUGAUGAUUCCCUGUUUACAGUUACAUUUUUAGACCUGUCAUUUAGCCAGGUUUUAAUCCAUUUAAUGUAUGCUGUGUUAAUUUUGCACCAGUCUAGUUUUUAAUUAAAAUAUUGUG
This is a long non-coding RNA of Trachemys scripta elegans, 542 nucleotides long. RefSeq lists it as uncharacterized. The transcript is spliced from 3 exons. NCBI's taxonomy places the organism in Eukaryota, Metazoa, Chordata, Testudines, Emydidae. The record is from RefSeq and is a predicted model, not a curated record.